GAGUUUGAUCGUGGCUCAGAUUGAACGCUGGCGGCAGGCCUAACACAUGCAAGUCGAGCGGUAGAGAGAAGCUUGCUUCUCUUGAGAGCGGCGGACGGGUGAGUAAUGCCUAGGAAUCUGCCUGGUAGUGGGGGAUAACGCUCGGAAACGGACGCUAAUACCGCAUACGUCCUACGGGAGAAAGCAGGGGACCUUCGGGCCUUGCGCUAUCAGAUGAGCCUAGGUCGGAUUAGCUAGUUGGUGAGGUAAUGGCUCACCAAGGCGACGAUCCGUAACUGGUCUGAGAGGAUGAUCAGUCACACUGGAACUGAGACACGGUCCAGACUCCUACGGGAGGCAGCAGUGGGGAAUAUUGGACAAUGGGCGAAAGCCUGAUCCAGCCAUGCCGCGUGUGUGAAGAAGGUCUUCGGAUUGUAAGGCACUUUAAGUUGGGAGGAAGGGCAGUAAAUUAAUAACUUUGCUGUUUUGACGUUACCGACAGAAUAAGCGCCGGCUAACUCUGUGACAGCCGCCG
This 514-nucleotide ribosomal RNA is filed under the name uncultured bacterium. Its description in RNAcentral is "bacterial SSU rRNA". It matches the Rfam family "Bacterial small subunit ribosomal RNA", at positions 9 to 517 of the family's 1533-position model. The record is from RNAcentral.